Long non-coding RNA from Helianthus annuus (common sunflower), 5561 nucleotides. RefSeq lists it as uncharacterized. Lineage: Eukaryota; Viridiplantae; Streptophyta; Magnoliopsida; Asterales; Asteraceae. The record is from RefSeq and is a predicted model, not a curated record. The transcript has 6 exons.
UUUCGUAAGAUAUAUUACAAUGUUUUAAUCGCAAUAUUUGACUUUCAGAAAUGAUAAACAUAGAUUUCUACUAUUAUUAAAGUUUUAUAAACUAUGGAAAGUUUAAAGCAUAUGUGCACAUAAAGUUAACCAAGUUAGUAUGUGAAAUGAAAUAAGUGGCAUGUUUUAAAAGAUAGAGGGGUUAAAAUGGAAAUAUGCUAUAAAUAAACACUUGACAAAAAAAAAAAUUAGUCAGUGUUUGGUCUGGGCGUGCGAACGAGGAGAAGGAACCAAGGGAACCAAAACCCUAAACAACCUAAAAUCAUCAAAUUGAAAGGGGAAUCGAGGGCUGAUCGAAUGCAUGAGUCUAGAUACCCUUUAAUCUAAGUGUAUUGAUCAUAAGGAACGUGUCAAGGAGAGCUCAAGCAUAGGAGGAUAACGGGUCAAGAUAAGGCAAGGUGACAAAUACACUUAUUGGAAUACUCAAGGUAAGUGAUUUCUAUAAUCACUUCUUUAGUUGUUUAAGUAAUAUAAUGUUUUAAUUAUUAAGUUCAUAUGAAGUUGAGGUUAAAUCAAUGGAUUAUUUUGAUAAAUGCACGAAUGGGUCGAAUAAUUCAUAGAUGAAUAACAAGCCGAAUACGUAUAAGUUAAGGAAUUCCUUAACUCGGAUGUUGGACUUCAAGAUCACGUGAUAGAAUAUUAAAUUACAAUCAUAUAGGAAGAAACGUGACGCAAAACGGACGAAAAAUGAGAGAGUUAUGUCCGUUUCAGUAAGGAUUAAUGGCUAGAAAAAGUGCAGAGUUGACACGGCCGGGUGGUGAACUGACACGGCCGGGUGAAGGUUCUGUCAAAAAUAAUAUUUAUGUGAUUUAUGCGCCGUAGGCUUCGGUAUAUUAUCCGUGAACUACGACGGGCCUCCCAAACAUGAUUUCGAGUGUUUCCUUGACGAUUAUAAGUUGUAAACCCAAGUCUAAGCCUCAUGUAAUUUAUAUAAGAGUGUGAUAGAUGUAUGUAAAGAAGUUGGACAUGUAUUACAUGUAAAUGUAUACAAAAAUACGUACGGAACACGUAGGUAUGAAUACAUGAUUGUAGGUAUGAUUAAAUGUAUAUUAGGUAUGUAGAUGUGUAUGAUUGUAAGUUUGUAUGUGUGCAAGUAUGUGCGAAUGCAUGAUUCGGAUGCAUUUAAAUGGUUAACGUCCUUUUUAUGAAGAUGUAGUAAAUGAAUAUGUUGAGAUUACGGGUUUGGCUAACCAAGUUAUUAUUGAGUAUGUUUGAAAGUGCAGGUGAUGAAUGUCGGACUUUCGAAGUGUUGAUAUAAUAAUGAAACGGUUGAAUGUUGAAAGGAUAAUCGGACUGAAGUAACUUAUGCGGUUAGAAUAUGCUAUGGACGUUUUAGUUUAUACAAUAUUAUAUGUUUGGUCGUCACCAUCUACUAACAGGUAAAUCCUCAAUUUAGGCGACUUGGAGAAUCGGAGCGAGCGCGUGUUCGUGUUAUGCGAUACCAAACGCUUCCGCUAGUUUGUUCAAAUGUUUUUGACCCAAAAUUUGUUGUAUUGGUUUUUAGUAGUAUCUUGUUGAACGAAUUGUAGAAUUGUAUCUAGAUUGUUUAUGUUUAAAACAGGGGUAUGCUCGUUUUAUGGACGGGUCAUGCCCGAUUUUUGUUAAAUUAUAGUUUGAUAAUAUCACAUUUAGGAAGGUGAAAUUUUGGGCGUAACAAGUUGGUAUCAGAGCCUAGGUUUGAGGGAUUCGAGCAAGAGUAUCAGUGCUUGAACUCAAACCGAUGACUCGUGCAAAAGUGUGCUCGCUCCGAGAUCGCCAAUGAGGCCAAGAGCACGCGGGUUAUGUGAAGGGUAAGCGCAAUUGUUCGGAAGGAAUGAUCCGUGAAUGCGGUCUAGGACCGGCAUCAAAGCAAGUAAUAAGACGAAUUGACCCCUGGUACGUAUACUCAACGCGUUGAUGUAUGAAAUAGUAUAAUUAGGCAAGUGAAAGGAAAAUCUAAAUGAAUACAACAACGACAUGGUAAAGGAGUUUUAAAAAUGUAACACGUGCCGAAACUUAAUUCUUCGGGCAUAAUGUGGCGAUUACGCGAAGACACGAAACUAGUACGUGGAUUGUGUGCCUGGCCAGUACACAAGAAACGUAUGGCGUUCGUGAGACCGCGAUAAUUGUUACAUGUAUGUCCGUUAGAAUUGGGUAGCAGGUGGGCGUACGGGUGAAAUGAGUAGUAAGACUCUCGGGAGAUUGAGAGUACUACGUAAGAGUACAAAAUGCAAGUGAUAAGAAUAAAAUGUUGAAUCCGUAAGAAGUACGGACCAACAAUGUAUGAAUGCAAUGCUUGAAUCUGCGAGACGGAUUCAAGGAAUGAAAGAUACGAAUGCAAUGCUUGAAUCUGCGAGACAGAUUCAAGGAAUGAAAGAUACGAAUGCAAUGCUUGAAUCUGCGAGACGGAUUCAAGGAAUGAAAGAUACGAAUGCAAUGCUUGAAUCCGCGAGACGGAUUCAAGGAAUGAAAGAUACGAAUGCAAUGCUUGAAUCUGCGAGACGGAUUCAAGGAAUGAAAGAUACGAAUGCAAUGCUUGAAUCUGCGAGACGGAUUCAAGGAAUGAAAGAUACGAAUGCAAUGCUUGAAUCCGCGAGACGGAUUCAAGGAAUGAAAGAUACGAAUGCAAUGCUUGAAUCCGCGAGACGGAUUCAAGGAAUGAAAGAUACGAAUGCAAUGCUUGAAUCCGCGAGACGAAUUCAAAGAAUGAAAGAUAUGGAUGCAAUGCUUGAAUCCGCGAGACGGAUUCAAGAAAUGAAAGGCAUGAAUGCAAUGUUCAAAUCCGCGAAGCGGACUUAAGGUAUAAAAAGGCGAAAACUAGUCUACAUAAGAAGAGUCAAUAGUUUGACCAUGAUUGCGUCAAACAAGUCAUAUAAGUAAAUGUAAAGCAAAUGAACAAAGAAAUGACAAGAAUGAAGAUAUUCGAAUGUGAAGUAAUUACGUACCAAACAAAUAAAUGUUCCUUAAGUGAUGUGAUUCAGUUUAUGCUUGAACUUCUAUAUAUAUAUAUAUAUAUAUAUGAAUAUAUUUAUGCAAAUGCGUUUUGUACAAGAAUGGUCGAAAGGAUAAAUGGGUCAUACGGGUCAGAUGGCGAUCUCCAUUUGAACUCGGUAGUUAAUGUUUUGAUAUGUUAAGUUUUGUACUCAUAGGUGAGCUUGAUGAAUGGACACGCAAUGUUACUAAUCAGAAAGGAAGGAUCAUCGUAAGGUAUGGAUAACGAAUCAAUGGAAUUUACUUCCGUCAGGUAUGUAUAAAAAGAAGUGUAACUUUAAUAGAGGUUAGUACUCGACUAGAAAUGGAUGUGUCAGAAUAGAAUGUAUGUAUAUAUACAAACCGUAAUGCAAAAUGUGGAGUGAAUUUCAAAAUGUUCGUAAUGAUCAUCGGGUAGUAUUGAACUUGAAUGCUCGUAACUGUGGAAAUUCUGAUAGAAUAUAAGAGACGAUAAGUAUCCUUAAGAAAUGCUAACUUUGAUGCUCGGCUUGUUGGCCAUGUUCAUUUGAACAAGACAUUGUAGAAAAGAUACGCAUGGCAUAAAUAACAAUAAUAACCAUGGAAAUAAUGCUUAGUCUUCGUGAUUUAAGUAUGGAUAAGUAAGUUUAAGAAAGGAUGUUGGUAACGGGAUGAUAAGGUUUGCUCGUGGUGAACAUAAUGAAAUAAUGUAUAUGAUAUAAUGAUAGAAUGAAACAAAUCAUAGAAAGUGAAAACGACACUAAUAAGAGCUCUGGAUCAGAUUAUGAGUUUUAUGUGAUUAUGAAAAUAAAUUACAUAAUUUAAGAACGUAAGGACAAUGCGUACAAUCAUGUUUAGGUAUGAAACAAACUUUUGACCAAGAUCCCGAAUGUAUUCAUGUUGUAAUAAGCAUCGUGAAUGAAUAGAUGGAAAGGUAAGAGUAGUAUUGGGCUACUAAGAAUAAGAAAGGUUUCGGGGACGAAACCUUCUUUAAGGGGGGUAGACUUGUAACACGCCAAAUUUCGUAAGAUAUAUUACAAUGUUUUAAUCGCAAUAUUUGACUUUCAGAAAUGAUAAACAUAGAUUUCUACUAUUAUUAAAGUUUUAUAAACUAUGGAAAGUUUAAAGCAUAUGUGCACAUAAAGUUAACCAAGUUAGUAUGUGAAAUGAAAUAAGUGGCAUGUUUUAAAAGAUAGAGGGGUUAAAAUGGAAAUAUGCUAUAAAUAAACACUUGACAAAAAAAAAUUAGUCAGUGUUUGGUCUGGGCGUGCGAACGAGGAGAAGGAACCAAGGGAACCAAAACCCUAAACAACCUAAAAUCAUCAAAUUGAAAGGGGAAUCGAGGGCUGAUCGAAUGCAUGAGUCUAGAUACCCUUUAAUUUAAGUGUAUUGAUCAUAAGGAACGUGUCAAGGAGAGCUCAAGCAUAGGAGGAUAACGGGUCAAGAUAAGGCAAGGUGACAAAUACACUUAUUGGAAUACUCAAGGUAAGUGAUUUCUAUAAUCACUUCUUUAGUUGUUUAAGUAAUAUAAUGUUUUAAUUAUUAAGUUCAUAUGAAGUUGAGGUUAAAUCAAUGGAUUAUUUUGAUAAAUGCACGAAUGGGUCGAAUAAUUCAUAGAUGAAUAACAAGCCGAAUACGUAUAAGUUAAGGAAUUCCUUAACUCGGAUGUUGGACUUCAAGAUCACGUGAUAGAAUAUUAAAUUACAAUCAUAUAGGAAGAAACGUGACGCAAAACGGACGAAAAAUGAGAGAGUUAUGUCCGUUUCAGUAAGGAUUAAUGGCUAGGAAAAGUGCAGAGUUGACACGGCCGGGUGGUGAACUGACACGGCCGGGUGAAGGUUCUGUCAAAAAUAAUAUUUAUGUGAUUUAUGCGCCGUAGGCUUCGGUAUAUUAUCCGUGAACUACGACGGGCCUCCCAAACAUGAUUUCGAGUGUUUCCUUGACGAUUAUAAGUUGUAAACCCAAGUCUAAGCCUCAUGUAAUUUAUAUAAGAGUGUGAUAGAUGUAUGUAAAGAAGUUGGACAUGUAUUACAUGUAAAUGUAUACAAAAAUACGUACGGAACACGUAGGUAUGAAUACAUGAUUGUAGGUAUGAUUAAAUGUAUAUUAGGUAUGUAGAUGUGUAUGAUUGUAAGUUUGUAUGUGUGCAAGUAUGUGCGAAUGCAUGAUUCGGAUGCAUUUAAAUGGUUAACGUCCUUUUUAUGAAGAUGUAGUAAAUGAAUAUGUUGAGAUUACGGGUUUGGCUAACCAAGUUAUUAUUGAGUAUGUUUGAAAGUGCAGGUGAUGAAUGUCGGACUUUCGAAGUGUUGAUAUAAUAAUGAAACGGUUGAAUGUUGAAAGGAUAAUCGGACUGAAGUAACUUAUGCGGUAAAUCCUCAAUUUAGGCGACUUGGAGAAUCAGAGCGAGCGCGUGUUCGUGUUAUGCGGUACCAAACGCUUCCGCUAGUUUGUUCAAAUGUUUUUGACCCAAAAUUUGUUGUAUUGGUUUUUAGUAGUAUCUUGUUGAACGAAUUGUAGAAUUGUAUCUAGAUUGUUUAUGUUUAAAACAGGGGUAUGCUCGUUUUAUGGACGGGUCAUGCCCGAUUUUUGUUAAA